This 1014-nucleotide long non-coding RNA is filed under the name Oryctolagus cuniculus (rabbit). RNAcentral's name for it is "lncRNA (ENSOCUG00000038870.1)". Lineage: Eukaryota; Metazoa; Chordata; Mammalia; Lagomorpha; Leporidae. The record is from RNAcentral.
GCCCCAAAAUUAGAUAUCCUUAACCCAAUAUUUUAUAAAAUGUUUAGCAUUAGCUUGUUAAUGUCCCUGAGAAAUUGCAUUGAGAAGAUUAGGUUUUUUUGACAUCUCAAAAAAUAGAGAAUUUCAAAACAACUCUUCUGAACUUAUCAGAUGAUCAGACGCUUUCUGUUUGGUGCCAUAAAUCACAACACUUGCUUUUUAAGUAAUUUUUGUACACUUUGAGUAAACUUGAUUUAAUGCUGAUAUACUUGCCUUUUUAUUUAAGGAGUAUUCACAAACUUCCUGGAAAUGCAUAUUAUUAAAAUAGUUUGAGUGCUUCAAAAUCUUUUUUGCAGCAAAAUAAACUGAUUUUUCAGUCCUAUUUUCCACAAACUAUUCAAAGUACCAUCCCAUAAAUAUGAGUAGAAUGAACUUGUGUUUUUUUCUUAUUGUGGUAAAUUUCAUAUCACAUAAAAUUGACUCAGCCAUUUUUAGAAAAUGAAAUUCAGAAAUGCUUCAUCGAUUUGAGGUAUUGUGAAAUAGUCGCAAUGAUAGAGUUUCAGAACUUUUUCAUGACAUCACAAGGAGACCCAAUACCCAUUAAGCAGUUCGCUCUGUUCCCCUCUCGCUUCCUAUAACCAUUGACAAACACACUUGUUGUUUUUCCUGGAAUUUCCUAUGUUGGCAUUUCACAUAAAUGGAAUAAUGUAAUAUGUUACCUUUUGUUACUGGUUGCUGCUUUUUAGAAUGCUGUUUCCAAGAUCCAUCCCCGUUGUGGUAUCUAUCAGUGCUUACUUUUAUAGCUGCAUAAUAUUCCAUCAUGAGUAGAUAACAAAUGUCAUUUAUCUAUUAAUGAGUUGGUAGGCCACUUGAGGUUUUUCCCAUCCAUUUAAAUAAUAAUGCUAUUAACAGUCACAUACAGAUUUUGUAAGUAUGGAUGGAUUUCACAUUUUUUUUGUGCCAACAUUAAAGGCUUUUAAUUGCACUUUAUACAAACUUUUUCAAGUACCACACAUCUGGGAAGAUUGGGCCUGA